Molecule: transfer RNA, 69 nt
Filed under: Sylvirana guentheri
Lineage: Eukaryota; Metazoa; Chordata; Amphibia; Anura; Ranidae
Description: tRNA-His
Rfam family: tRNA
About the family: Transfer RNA (tRNA) molecules are approximately 80 nucleotides in length. Their secondary structure includes four short double-helical elements and three loops (D, anti-codon, and T loops). Further hydrogen bonds mediate the characteristic L-shaped molecular structure. tRNAs have two regions of fundamental functional importance: the anti-codon, which is responsible for specific mRNA codon recognition, and the 3' end, to which the tRNAs corresponding amino acid is attached (by aminoacyl-tRNA synthetases). tRNAs cope with the degeneracy of the genetic code in two manners: having more than one tRNA (with a specific anti-codon) for a particular amino acid; and 'wobble' base-pairing, i.e. permitting non-standard base-pairing at the 3rd anti-codon position.
Source: RNAcentral
GUGACUGUAGUUUAAUAAAAACCCUAGAUUGUGAUUCUAGAAAUAAAGGUUAAACCCCUUUCAAUCACC